UGAACGCUAGCUACAGGCUUAACACAUGCAAGUCGAGGGGCAUCAGGAAGAAAGCUUGCUUUCUUUGCUGGCGACCGGCGCACGGGUGAGUAACACGUAUCCAACCUGCCCUUUACUCGGGGAUAGCCUUUCGAAAGAAAGAUUAAUACCCGAUAGCAUAAUGAUUCCGCAUGGUUUCAUUAUUAAAGGAUUCCGGUAAAGGAUGGGGAUGCGUUCCAUUAGGUUGUUGGUGAGGUAACGGCCCACCAAGCCUUCGAUGGAUAGGGGUUCUGAGAGGAAGGUCCCCCACAUUGGAACUGAGACACGGUCCAAACUCCUACGGGAGGCAGCAGUGAGGAAUAUUGGUCAAUGGGCGCUAGCCUGAACCAGCCAAGUAGCGUGAAGGAUGAAGGCUCUAUGGGUCGUAAACUUCUUUUAUAUAAGAAUAAAGUGCAGUAUGUAUACUGUUUUGUAUGUAUUAUAUGAAUAAGGAUCGGCUAACUCCGUGCCAGCAGCCGCGGUAAUACGGAGGAUCCGAGCGUUAUCCGGAUUUAUUGGGUUUAAAGGGAGCGUAGGUGGACUGGUAAGUCAGUUGUGAAAGUUUGCGGCUCAACCGUAAAAUUGCAGUUGAUACCGUCAGUCUUGAGUACAGUAGAGGUGGGCGGAAUUCGUGGUGUAGCGGUGAAAUGCUUAGAUAUCACGAAGAACUCCGAUUGCGAAGGCAGCUCACUGGACUGCAACUGACACUGAUGCUCGAAAGUGUGGGUAUCAAACAGGAUUAGAUACCCUGGUAGUCCACACAGUAAACGAUGAAUACUCGCUGUUUGCGAUAUACAGUAAGCGGCCAAGCGAAAGCAUUAAGUAUUCCACCUGGGGAGUACGCCGGCAACGGUGAAACUCAAAGGAAUUGACGGGGGCCCGCACAAGCGGAGGAACAUGUGGUUUAAUUCGAUGAUACGCGAGGAACCUUACCCGGGCUUAAAUUGCAGUGGAAUGAUGUGGAAACAUGUCAGUGAGCAAUCACCGCUGUGAAGGUGCUGCAUGGUUGUCGUCAGCUCGUGCCGUGAGGUGUCGGCUUAAGUGCCAUAACGAGCGCAACCCUUAUCUUUAGUUACUAACAGGUUAUGCUGAGGACUCUAGAGAGACUGCCGUCGUAAGAUGUGAGGAAGGUGGGGAUGACGUCAAAUCAGCACGGCCCUUACGUCCGGGGCUACACACGUGUUACAAUGGGGGGUACAGAAGGCAGCUAGCGGGUGACCGUAUGCUAAUCCCAAAAUCCUCUCUCAGUUCGGAUCGAAGUCUGCAACCCGACUUCGUGAAGCUGGAUUCGCUAGUAAUCGCGCAUCAGCCACGGCGCGGUGAAUACGUUCCCGGGCCUUGUACACACCGCCCGUCAAGCCAUGGGAGCCGGGGGUACCUGAAGUACGUAACCGCAAGGAUCGUCCUAGGGUAAAACUGGUGACUGG
RNAcentral lists this ribosomal RNA (1445 nucleotides) under uncultured organism. RNAcentral's name for it is "SSU rRNA". It matches the Rfam family "Bacterial small subunit ribosomal RNA". The record is from RNAcentral.